This 390-nucleotide ribosomal RNA is filed under the name fungal sp. Its description in RNAcentral is "SSU rRNA". It matches the Rfam family "Eukaryotic small subunit ribosomal RNA", at positions 827 to 1216 of the family's 1831-position model. Lineage: Eukaryota; Fungi. The record is from RNAcentral.
CGCGCGGUUCUAUUUUGUUGGUUUCUAGGACCGCCGUAAUGAUGAAUAGGGACAGUCGGGGGCAUCAGUAUUCAGUUGUCAGAGGUGAAAUUCUUGGAUCUACUGAAGACUAACUACUGCGAAAGCAUUUGCCAAGGAUGUUUUCAUUAAUCAGGAACGAAAGUUAGGGGAUCGAAGACGAUCAGAUACCGUCGUAGUCUUAACCAUAAACUAUGCCGACUAGGGAUCGGACGAUGUUAUUUAGUUGACUCGUUCGGCACCUUACGAGAAAUCAAAGUGCUUGGGCUCCAGGGGGAGUAUGGUCGCAAGGCUGAAACUUAAAGAAAUUGACGGAAGGGCACCACCAGGGGUGGAGCCUGCGGCUUAAUUUGACUCAACACGGGGAAACUC